CUAACUACGUGCCAGCAGCCGNGGUAAUACGUAGGNGGCAAGCGUUGUNNNGAAUUAUNGGGCGUAAAGCGCGCGCAGGUGGUUCUUUAAGUNUGAUGUGAAAGCCCACGGCUCAACCGUGGAGGGUCAUUGGAAACUGGGGAACUUGAGUGCAGAAGAGGAAAGUGGAAUUCCACGUGUAGCGGUGAAAUGCGUAGAGAUGUGGAGGAACACCAGUGGCGAAGGCGACNNUCUGGUCUGUAACUGACACUGAGGCGCGAAAGCGUGGGGAGCGAACAGGAUUAGAUACCCUGGUAGUCCACGCCGUAAACGAUGAGUGCUAAGUGUUAGAGGGUUUCCGCCCUUUAGUGCUGCAGCUAACGCAUUAAGCACUCCGCCUGGGGAGUACGGCCGCAAGGCUGAAACUCAAAGGAAUUGACGGGGGCCCGCACAAGCGGUGGAGCAUGUGGUUUAAUUCGAAGCAACGCGAAGAACCUUACCAGGUCUUGACAUCCUCUGACAACCCUAGAGAUAGGGCCUUCCCCUUUUGGGGGACAGAGUGACAGGUGGUGCAUGGUUGUCGUCAGCUCGUGUCGUGAGAUGUUGGGUUAAGUCCCGCAACGAGCGCAACCCUUGAUCUUAGUUGCCAGCAUUCAGUUGGGCACUCUAAGGUGACUGCCGGUGACAAACCGGAGGAAGGUGGGGAUGACGUCAAAUCAUCAUGCCCCUUAUGACCUGGGCUACACACGUGCUACAAUGGAUGGUACAAAGAGCCCGCAAACCCGCGAGGGUAAGCUAAUCUCAUAAAGCCAUUCUCAGUUCGGAUUGCAGGCUGCAACUCGCCUGCAUGAAGCCGGAAUCGCUAGUAAUCGCGGAUCAGCAUGCCGCGGUGAAUACGUUC
RNAcentral lists this ribosomal RNA (880 nucleotides) under uncultured bacterium. Its description in RNAcentral is "bacterial SSU rRNA". It matches the Rfam family "Bacterial small subunit ribosomal RNA", at positions 497 to 1373 of the family's 1533-position model. The record is from RNAcentral.